This 321-nucleotide ribosomal RNA is filed under the name Triticum aestivum (bread wheat). RNAcentral's name for it is "partial small subunit ribosomal RNA". Lineage: Eukaryota; Viridiplantae; Streptophyta; Magnoliopsida; Poales; Poaceae. The record is from RNAcentral.
UACCAAGGAGGUGUAUGGAAGGUUAGAGUAGAACUCCCUGAUGCAUAUCCUUACAAGUCUCCGUCGAUUGGUUUGGUUAAUAAGAUAUAUCACCCGAAUGUCGAUGAACUGUCUGGUUCCGUCUACUUGGAUGUCAUUAACCAGACAUGGAGCCCAAUGUUUGAUCUUGUCAAUGUGUUUGAAGUCUUCCUUCCACAACUUUUGUUAUAUCCAAAUCCUUUUGAUCCAUUGAACGGAGAAGCUACUGCGCUCUUGAUGCGUGAUCGCCCUGCUUAUGAGAAGAAAGUGAAAGGUGAUUAUAUUAAUUUAACACACAUCUAA